UACGUAGGGGGCAAGCGUUGUCCGGAUUUACUGGGCGUAAAGAGCGCGCAGGCGGUCGUUCAAGUCGAGUGUGAAAGCCCCCGGCUCAACUGGGGAGGGUCACUCGAUACUGAUCGACUGGAAGGCAGGAGAGGGAAGCGGAAUUCCCGGUGUAGUGGUGAAAUGCGUAGAUAUCGGGAGGAACACCAGUGGCGAAGGCGGCUUCCUGGCCUGUUCUUGACGCUGAGGCGCGAAAGCUAGGGGAGCAAACGGG
RNAcentral lists this ribosomal RNA (253 nucleotides) under uncultured bacterium. RNAcentral describes it as "partial 16S ribosomal RNA". It matches the Rfam family "Bacterial small subunit ribosomal RNA", at positions 524 to 776 of the family's 1533-position model. The record is from RNAcentral.